Plodia interpunctella (Indianmeal moth) is the source of this 737-nucleotide long non-coding RNA. RefSeq lists it as uncharacterized. The record is from RefSeq and is a predicted model, not a curated record. NCBI's taxonomy places the organism in Eukaryota, Metazoa, Arthropoda, Insecta, Lepidoptera, Pyralidae. The transcript is spliced from 3 exons.
UUUCGAUGGUUUAAAAUUGAAACCUUACGAAACUUGCCACACGAUAACUGAUAUAUUUUCUAUUAAAUAUAGAUAUAUCGUCUGAACUCAUAGAUAUGAGUUUAGGUGAUUUAGGAGAUAAGAUAAACGAACACGCGGCCGAAUCCCUCGUACGAAAUAAUUGCUAGCUACCGACUUGAUAAACAUGAUGUAUUGCGUUCUAAAACAACAAUAUAUCUUUUACGUUUCAUUUGUACUUUAUUUUUAUAGCAAUAGAAUUCAAAUUAAUGUCAUUUAAGUAGAGAAUAAUUUAGUGGUUUAUAUAAACAGGGUGUGAGCGAUAUUUUCAGCGGUUAUAGUGAUAUGUUCAACAAGCAUGAAUCAACCGUGGAAGAUAGAAGAUAGAAGAACUGUUGAUAUUCAAUUGAUGUAGGUCCCUAAUAAACAACUUUCAUACAGUUUUGUCAACCAAAAAUAUAUCCUACUAAUAUAAGAAAGAUAUUUGUAAAGACAACGACACAAAAAACAAUACAUCAAGACAUAGUAACAGAAAAAGACAAGGAGACAUUACAGGUCUGUGUUGCAGCAAUAUAAAGCUAGGAAGUCUUGGUCGCAUUGGACGCAUCACUCAGGCAGGAGUGAACCGGAAUAGCGAGAGAACUAUUUCGCCUCGCCAGAAACAGAUAAACACAAAAACAUGUGAAAUGCGAGUUAAAAUUCUCUUUAGACCAAGCUUUACCUGUGUUUUUUCCAGUCAA